This 73-nucleotide transfer RNA is filed under the name Escherichia coli. RNAcentral describes it as "tRNA-Phe". It matches the Rfam family "tRNA". Rfam says of the family: Transfer RNA (tRNA) molecules are approximately 80 nucleotides in length. Their secondary structure includes four short double-helical elements and three loops (D, anti-codon, and T loops). Lineage: Bacteria; Pseudomonadati; Pseudomonadota; Gammaproteobacteria; Enterobacterales; Enterobacteriaceae. The record is from RNAcentral.
GCCCGGAUAGCUCAGUCGGUAGAGCAGGGGAUUGAAAAUCCCCGUGUCCUUGGUUCGAUUCCGAGUCCUUGCC